Long non-coding RNA from Trichomycterus rosablanca, 649 nucleotides. RefSeq lists it as uncharacterized. NCBI's taxonomy places the organism in Eukaryota, Metazoa, Chordata, Actinopteri, Siluriformes, Trichomycteridae. The record is from RefSeq and is a predicted model, not a curated record. The transcript has 5 exons.
UUGUCAGUUGCUAAUGCUAACAUUAGCGCAAUACUUAGCUCAAUGUAACGCUAACAGCCGGUUACACUCCCUAGCUACUAACAGCUCAACUAGCUCUAAACAACAAAAUAACUCACCAUCACUCCGCUUAAUCUCCACAUAUAUCCCUACUGUUAUUCUGCCGAAGUAAACGGCCAUGGUUGCUCGUGUGUGGACUCAGCGAUAUAGGUAAGGAUCUCCAGCAUCUCACUUUCGAUAAUCUUCUUAGCCAACUCGGGAUCAGAAUCCACCAUGUUGAACACUGUCACAAUACCACGGUGUUGGAUUUGAGGAUUGUCAUGAAGACACACGCUCUGGAGGAUCUCAAGCCAUUGUUCUCUACUGGAGCCAAAAGUUUAAUCAGACAAACGUCCAAUACUGGAAAUCUGUUCUACCCCAAUUUUAUAGCUUCUUUUGUGCUGCAGUGAGCAUAGCCAGUCCACCAGCUGCUGCAAUCUGUAGCUUCUCAUCAUCCUCACCACAAAGGAGCACAAGAAGUUUCAGCUUGUCAUUACCAUCUUCAAGAUAUCUGUCCUGAACCUGUCAAGAUGUCUUUGAGCAAGGACACUCCAUUGGUGAUAAUGAAGGAGGCUCGGCUCAUUUUGGUGGAAGAAUGGAUGAUAGCUUCAAU